This 472-nucleotide ribosomal RNA is filed under the name uncultured bacterium. RNAcentral's name for it is "bacterial SSU rRNA". It matches the Rfam family "Bacterial small subunit ribosomal RNA", at positions 43 to 524 of the family's 1533-position model. The record is from RNAcentral.
CAGGCCUAACACAUGCAAGUCGAACGGAGCCGCAAGGCUUAGUGGCAAACGGGUGCGUAACGCGUAAGCAACCUGCCCGCAACUGGGGGAUAGCCCGGCGAAAGCUGGGGUAAACCCGCACGGUCCAGUGGUCUCACCUGGAGUUACUGGUAAACAUUUAUGGGUUGCGGGGGGGCUUGCGUCUGAUUAGCUAGUUGGCGGGGUAAGGGCCCACCAAGGCGAUGAUCAGUAGGGGUUCUGAGAGGAUUGGCCCCCACAUGGGUACUGAGAUACGGACCCAACUCCUACGGGAGGCAGCAGUAGGGAAUAUUGGGCAAUGGGCGAGAGCCUGACCCAGCCAUGCCGCGUGCCGGAUGAAGGCGCUCAGCGUUGUAAACGGCUUUUGACUGGGAAGAACGGCAGGUUUGCGAACUUGUGUGACGGUACCAGCAGAAUAAGCACCGGCUAACUCCGUGCCAGCAGCCGCGGUAAU